This is a long non-coding RNA of Hippocampus comes (tiger tail seahorse), 276 nucleotides long. RefSeq lists it as uncharacterized. NCBI's taxonomy places the organism in Eukaryota, Metazoa, Chordata, Actinopteri, Syngnathiformes, Syngnathidae. The record is from RefSeq and is a predicted model, not a curated record. The transcript has 2 exons.
AAUACAGGAACAAGUCAACGGUGAUCAUUUUUCAUGUCAUGUCAAUUGGAAACAGAUUCCCAAAGCUUUUGGAUUUCAUUACAAAACGCACCAUCAUUAAAACAUUUGAGGUAAUUUGGAGCGUUUUUUAGUUGUUGUUGGUUUUGAAUUAGCAUCGAUGACAGCACUGGCUUGUUUACUACUUGCGAUUUACGAUGCUUCAAAAAGGCAGGGGUUGUCGUAGUGUGACCCCGUUGACAGACAAGGCGAUACAUCAAUGCCAGUAAAAAAAAAAAA